This 96-nucleotide small nuclear RNA is filed under the name Microtus ochrogaster (prairie vole). The record is from RNAcentral. Lineage: Eukaryota; Metazoa; Chordata; Mammalia; Rodentia; Cricetidae.
CUUGCUUCCGCAAGCCUUGCUAAAAUCGGAAGGAUACAGAGAUUGGCAUCCCUGUGCAAGGAUGACAUACCAAUCCAUAAAGCAUUUUACAUUUAA